AUAUAUAUAUUAUAUAGUAAAGACAAGAGUGCACACGCUGAAAUGUCUCGCCUUCUAUACUAAUCAUUGAUAUUAUGUUGAUAGUCCUAAGUAUAAAGCUUUAUUACAACUGUCUCAUAAACUUAACAUUAACCAAGAUAACUAAACAAAGACCAAUGAACCAUGAAAAUGAGGUCAAGGUCAGAUGAACCAUGCCUGGCAGACAUGUACAGCUAACAAUGCUUCUAUACAACAUAUAUAGUUGACCUAUUACUUAUAGUUUAAGAAAAAUAGACCAAAACACAAAAACUUAACACUGUGCAAUGAACCGUGAAAAUGAGGUCACGGUCAAAAGAAACCUGCGCUACUGACAUAAAGAUCAUAAAAAAUUUCCAUACACCAAAUAUAGUUGACCUAUGGCAUAUAGUAUUAGAUAAAAAGACCAAAACUCAAAAACUUAACUUUGACAACUGAACAUGAAAAUGAGGUCAAGGUCACAUGACAUCUGACCGCUAGACAUGUACACCUUACAAUCAUUCCAUACAACAAAUACAGUAGACCUAUUGCAUAUAGUAUGAAAAAAACAGACCAAAACACAAAAAUUUAACUAUAACCACUGAACCAUGAAAAUGAGGUCAAGGUCAGAUGACACCUGCCAGUUGGACAUGUACACCUUACAGUCCUUCCAUACACCGAAUAUACUAGCCCUAUUGCUUAUAGUAUCUGAGAUAUGGACUUGACCACCAAAACUUAACCUUGUUCACUGAUCCAUGAAAUGAGGUCGAGGUCAAGUGAAAACUGUCUGACAGACAUGAGGACCUUGCAAGGUACGCACAUAUCAAAUAUAGUUAUCCUAUUACUUAUAAUAAGAGAGAAUUCAACAUUACAAAAAAAUUUGAACUUUAUUUUCAAGUGGUCACUGAACCAUGAAAAUGAGGUCAAGGACAUUGGACAUGUGACUGACGGAAACUUCGUAACAUGAGGCAUCUAUAUACAAAGUAUGAAGCAUCCAGGUCUUCCACCUUCUAAAUAUAAAGCUUUUAAGAAGUUAGCUAACACCGCCGCCGCCGGAUCACUAUCCCUAUGUCGAGCUUUCUGCAACAAAAGUUGCAGGCUCGACAAAAA
This 1104-nucleotide long non-coding RNA is filed under the name Mytilus galloprovincialis (Mediterranean mussel). Lineage: Eukaryota; Metazoa; Mollusca; Bivalvia; Mytilida; Mytilidae. The record is from RNAcentral.